AGAACUCAUAUCUGCCAUCUAGUGAGUUUAUUAGAUCAUUAAUGCCUAAAAGUUACAAAAAUGACGUCGCCACAGGAGUAAGAUGACGCUAGUUGUAUGUUAUUUUCCUUUGUAUGGGAGUUGCACCCCCCUGAGUUCGGGUGUCAUCGUAUUCCGAUAAAGAACUGACUUUUCCUGAAGGAAAAUAAUUUCUCACUACAUCUACAUAAACCUACGUAUUUAUAACCAUGGAUUAAUAUAUCAUAGCUAUUAUAGGUACUAAUCUGUGGCAUUUAUUUACUGUGUAAAACAAUGCAAAGUAAAUAAUCAAAAUAGUGGUACACAAUCGCUAGUAGUACUAAGAAAUAGUGAUAUAAAACAGAAACAAGAAAGCAUAAAAUGGAUAACGAAUUUAUAGAUAUAUCGACAAGUCUCAAACUACAACUGGGCUAUGGAAUUGGUCACGUACUUAAUGAUGUUUGUGCCAGUUUGUGGUUUACAUAUUUUCUAGUAUAUUUUAAACUAGUACUAGAGUUCAGUAAUGUGCAGUCUGGUACACUUAUGUUAGUAGGUCAAAUGGUUGAUGCUUUAGCCACUCCUUUUAUUGGUUAUCACUCGGAUCAUACAGACAAUUUCUGGAGUGCAAAAUAUGGAAGACGGAAGCUCUGGCAUUUGUUUGGUACAAUCUGUGUUGUGACCUCAUUUCCAUUUAUCUUUUCUGAAUGUGUUGGAUGUUCAUUGACACACAGAUGGGCUCAAAUGUACUAUUUUGCUGCUUUUAUUGUCAUAUUCCAAAUUGGAUGGGCAGCAGUGCAAAUUUCGCAUUUGAGCCUAAUACCUGAAUUAGCACAAGAUGAUCACACAAGAACACACUUGACCGCUAUCAGAUAUGCAUUCACUGUGUUCUCUAAUUUGUUGGUGUACAUUGCUACGUGGAUAAUAUUGCAUAUUACAGGAGAAUGUGACAAAAAGCAAGUAGGGCCAUCUGACAGUUGGAAAUUCAGGCACAUAGUUUUUAUAGUUAUGGGUGUUGGCACUAUAGCCUCACUAUUGUUUCAUUUAAGUGUCAAAGAAACACAAAAUGCACGGAGUCGCCAGGUUUUAAUAGAUGCUGAAGAAAGCGGUGCUCACAACCUUUUCAUUCGUAAACCACUUUUAUAUCAGGUAGCCGGAGUAUAUAUGAGUACAAGGCUAGUAGUUAACUUAUCGCAGGUGCUCAUACCCUUAUAUCUUCACCUUACUUUAGGCCUAGCUGCGCGCGCUCUAGCUGCUAUACCACUCGCACUGUACAUUGGUAGUUUAACAGCAGCAGGAUUUCAGAGGUUGGCUCCGAGAUCAUUUUCAAGAAAAAUAAACUACUUUUUUGGUUCCACAUGUGCAAUGGCUGGUUUUGUAUGGAUAUAUUUUGGAUCAGAUCACAACUAUAAGGAGUAUUUCAUUUAUUUGGUCGCAUUACUUAUAGGUUUUGGUGGUGCAGUUAUGUUAGUAACGAGUCUUGCGCUAACAGCAGACUUGAUAGGCGAAAGAACCGAGGCUUCUGCUUUUGUAUAUGGAUUAAUGAGUUUUAGUGACAAAUUGUCGUGUGGACUAGCCAUUGCUUUAGUGCAAACAUAUGCCGACGGAGCUGAAUCAACAUACUAUCGGAAUGCUUUGGUGUGGGUGUGCGGAGUUGCAACGAUAACUGGCCUCAUCUUUACAUUAUUAUUACCUAAAUUUCAAACAGAUGCCCUUGUUUUGAAUGGUUCGUAAAAUGAUCUGAUUAGGCAUAAAAUAUUACGUAUUUGUUCUAGUUCCAUAAUAGUAAAACAUGUAUUUUUUAUUUUUUUUGUUUAUCAGAUUGGUGGACGAGCUCACGGCUCAACUGGCGUUAAGUAGUUACCGGUGCCCAUAGACAUCUACAACGUAAAUACCACCACCUACUUUGAGAUAUGAGUUCUAAAGUGUCAGUUUACAGUACAACGACGACCCCAGCCCUCAAACUGAAGUGCAUUACUGCUUCACGGCAGAUAUAGGUAGGGUGGUGGUACCUACCCGUGCGGACUCACAAGACCUCCUAUCAACAGUAAUUACGCAAAUUAUAAUUUUGCGUCUUUAGUUUUUAUUACACGAUGCUAUUCCUUCACCGUGGAAGUCAGUCGUGAACAUUUGUUAAGUACGUAUUUUAUUAGAAAAAUUAGUUCCUGCCUGCGGAACUCUACACCGGUACAUCGCAAGAAACGAAUGCACUGGAAGACUUUAUCGUUUAGGCAACAACGACUUCAAAUAUAGAAAAUAUAAAUAUAAUUUUGCACUGUUAAAAGUGAGACCUUACAACUCAUGCUUAAGGUACGCACCUUGGCGGCAUUUACGUUGUAGAUGACUAUGGGCUCCGGUAACCACUUAAAAUCAGGUGGGUCGUAAGCUCGUCCACCCAACUAAGAAAAAAAAAUAUAUAUAUUUAAUAUCGAUAAUGAUUUUGGAUUGAAGAACUGCUUCCGUAAUGGCUGUGACACUUAAUUUCGACACCCCCGAUUACUCUCUUUAGACAACCCAUACCCUGGGCCAGGAAGGUCAAGUACCUGGGCGUUACCCUGGAUGCAUCGAUGACAUUCCGCCCGCAUAUAAAAUCAGUCCGUGACCGUGCCGCGUUUAUUCUCGGUAGACUCUACCCCAUGAUCUGUAAGCGGAGUAAAAUGUCCCUUCGGAACAAGGUGACACUUUACAAAACUUGCAUAAGGCCCGUCAUGACUUACGCGAGUGUGGUGUUCGCUCACGCGGCCCGCACACACAUAGACACCCUCCAAUCCCUACAAUCCCGCUUUUGCAGGUUAGCUGUCGGGGCUCCGUGGUUCGUGAGGAACGUUGACCUACACGACGACCUGGGCCUCGAAUCAAUUCGGAAAUACAUGAAGUCAGCGUCGGAACGAUACUUCGAUAAGGCUAUGCGUCAUGAUAAUCGCCUUAUCGUUGCCACCGCUGACUACUCCCCGAAUCCUGAUCAUGCAGGAGCCAGUCACCGUCGACGCCCUAGACACGUCCUUACGGAUCCAUCAGAUCCAAUAACCUUUGCAUUAGAUGCCUUCAGCUCUAAUACUAGGGGCAGGCUUAGGGACCCCGGUAACCGUACUCGUCGAACUCGACAAAGAGGUCGACGUGCAACCUAACCCAUGCAUCAGCCCGCUGAGUUUCUCGCCGGAUCUUCUCAGCGGGUCGCGAUUCCGAUCCGGUAGUAGAUUCAUUCGCGAAACAAUUGCUCUUGAGUUGUUAGGUCUCCUUCGGAGGCGCUCGGGCAGUUGUUAGCAAAUCCCACCCCUCUUGGCUGAGCCUUUGCUCGCCCACCUGUCCUGGUGAAACUGGAAAGGCCUUCGGGCCACCAGUAAACAUUCAUUCAUAAAAAAAAAAAAAAAAAACUUAAUUUCGAAUACCUAUGUCCAAUCUAGUAAUGAGAAAAUAUAUGUACUCUAAAAAAUAGGUACAACAUAUUAAUAUUUCUUUAAAAUGAGUCGUCUAUUAUCAAAGGUGGCAAUCUGUGCAUUUGGACAAAAAAAUGUUAUUGAUAUGUCAAUACAGAUUGAUUUGAAUAUAAUCGUCUCCUUCAAAGAAUACGGUUCAAAACCUGCAUUAAAUAAAGGUUAAUACUUAACCUGUUAUUUAUCUAAGAUGUCGUUCAGAAGAGUUUUGUGACUGCCAAUGGAAUACAAAGUCAAUAAUUCGUUUUUCUGAUUUACCAAUAAUUGUCCAAAAGUCACAUUGCCGGCUUUGAUAAUAGUCGACUCAAAUGUUUUCUUAAUUUAUUGUACAUUAUUAUUGUAUAGUACAGGAUCCCUGGUACACUUUUCAUCAUUUAUUACUAACAAGCUGAUUUUUCGUGAGUAGCUUCCUUUUGACUAGACGCGCAACUUUUUUCCUUACAGUAACAUUGGUAAGUGGUUGUGGGGUAGCAAGGAUAAAAUAUGUUGAUUUCACGAAUUUUAAAAAUUUAUUAUUAACCGAAUUUUUCUUUGUUAAUUAUCGAGAUAUGUAUCUAAAUAACGUAAAAAAAUAUUUGUCCUACAAAAUAUAAAGUUUUGUUAGGGAGUCCCCCCUCUCCAACAUGUAUCAUAAACAAGGUCAUGAAAUAUAAUUACUAACCAGCUGAUUUUUUUUAUUGCUUAGUUACAUAACAUUUGCAUAGUUUACCACCCACAUUGUCCUACAAAUUGCCUGGUAUGUCACCUUUGUCCUACGCUCAAAAGUUGUCAAUAGUCAAUACCGCAGGACUUUUUUUUUAUUAGUAACUGUAGGACAAAGAUAUCAUGUGAUAGGUUAAUAUAUAUUUCGUCUAAAUAAAACAAUGUCCUACAAAAAAAAGGUAUGCUUUAUUAGUCCGACAAGAUUUGUAAUUUUUGAGUUAACAAUUUAUAUAUAUGUAAACAUUAAAUUUACUCUAAAUUCCUUGUAACAAGAGGAAUGAUAACCUAUUAUUUCAUCACCCCAACUUUCAGGCGAUACAAUAUCACAAUAUUUGUGUUUAUAAUGCUUUCGAGCAGAUAAAAAAGUUUUACAAGAAAGCCAUAUCUCUAUUUUUUUAUUUUAUUUCUUCUCUAAUUAGUUUUCAGAUAACAAAUUACAUAAAAAACACUCCAUUAUAAUUUUGCAACACAGAUUACUAUUCAAAUUAUUUUUCGAAAGACAAAUAAAAUACGAGGUUGACUAAAAACAACGUUACGUGGUUAUGAUCACAGUAAACAAUGCUGUGCGCAUGCAUUUGUGAGCAAGCAUUAUCCUUGCUUCAGUGUGCUUCAGCUCCAAUAGCAAAAUGUACGAAAUGAUAUUAAGUUUAAUUUCAUUAAUUUCAACUACGUAACUGGAGGACUGGAAUAACGUACCACGCAAUUUGUAGGACAAUGUGGGUGGUAAACUAUGCAAAUAUGGUGCGGCAGACAGUAACACAGAAGAUGCGACGAGUGCACCAAUAGAUAAUAUAUGAAUGCAUUCCAAUAAAAUUAAAAUAAUCAAAGUUAACUACCGAGAACUGUUCUAAUAAAAGUAUGAAAUUUUAGCGGGAAAAA
Molecule: RNA transcript, 5009 nt
Organism: Bombyx mori (domestic silkworm)
Lineage: Eukaryota; Metazoa; Arthropoda; Insecta; Lepidoptera; Bombycidae
Gene name: major facilitator superfamily domain-containing protein 12
Exons: 8
Source: RefSeq, a predicted model, not a curated record